RNAcentral lists this unclassified non-coding RNA (1896 nucleotides) under Hevea brasiliensis (rubber tree). Lineage: Eukaryota; Viridiplantae; Streptophyta; Magnoliopsida; Malpighiales; Euphorbiaceae. The record is from RNAcentral.
UACCCCAGUCCAUCCAUGAGCAGAGAAAGUUGAGAAGGGACUAGGGAGAUCAUGCAGUGGUGCUGUGACGAACUGUUAUCAGUCUCAUAAAUUUGAAAUUUUGGUAUGCAUUGUACAGAUUGAUUAUAUAUAUGGGAACCAAAAUAUGAACAUGAAUCAAAUCAAAUGUGUCGUGGUUAAAUAGAAAAUUUUCCUUCCUAUGAAACCAAGAUACUUCUCACCCUUGAAAGAAGAAAUGCAACCUCUACUUGAAAGCAUUAGUUGCAGCAUACAGAAAAUCCAAGAAGCCUGUUCCCUUGAGGAGACCUUUCCCAGUCAAGAGUUCAAAGUCUAAUAACAGCAAGAAUCCAAUUACAGCUGCCUUCCCAUUUAUCAAUUCAUUCUUGCCAGUGAAGCCAAACCCCUCUAGCUCCUCAUCGACUACCAUUCUCACCUCAUCCACAUUGACAUCAGUUGCAGUCACACCAGGUUGAGCCUUCCCACUAAACACUAUUUCUGCAGAUGCAUCAGGUUUUACACCUCCUUUCACACUGAUAUAAAUAUUAUCUUCAUCAGUUUUUACAGGAUAAACAUAGAGUGUCCUCAAAGCAGGUGUGAGAACUCUCAGCACAGGAUUUUUUGGAUACCAAUCUUUAAUAGCUCCAGUCCGAAGAUCAAAUGUGCUAUCCGUUGUUGGGCAAACUAUACAACCAUCCUGGGUAAGCUUGGCAUUGAUGAGUCCUUCAGUAUAAGCCCCCUCAGCAGGUGACCUAUUCUCAAUAGCGAAAACCUCAUCCUUAUACCACAGCAAAAGUAUCGUCUCCCCAUCUUGAAUUAUCACACGCCUUUCUCCCUUUGGCAGUGCCGCCAACGGAACCACAGGAACCCAGUUCUCGCCUCCUCCACCGGCAGUCGGAGACUGCUCACUCACCGAUACUUCCGCCGCCUCACACGCAAUUUUGGGUCGAGGCUUGGGAGUCCAUCGAGAGGCAAGCCAAUAUUUUGUGGGCAAUGCAGAGGCAGCGUGGUAGUUGGAACGGUGCAGCGGGCGGCCGGAAAUGGGAAUACGUGGAGGGUUAAAAGAGUAAUUUUGAGCCAAAGAUGAGGCGAUAUGGGAGGGAGUGGCAGCCAUGGAAGGGAGGGAAGGGAAGAGAGGGAGAGAGAAGAGAGAGGGAGAGAAUGAAGAAGGUGCAUGGCCACACAAAGUGGAUAAUUAGGGGGAAAAACCUGAGGAGAUAUGGUGGUCUUAAGUGUCUAUUUGCUUUGAGCCACAAAUUAUAUUAGUACUUACAUGGCAAAUUAAUAUCGUGGGAAUUGGAAGUCCCGCCUUCAUCAAAGAGAAAAGAAAUUCACCUAUGAUUUGCAACGGAAUUGUGAGAUGCUGAGUUUAAACUCUAUUAUGAGUUAAAUUAAUUAAAAAAAUUAAUAAUAACAUCAAAUAAUAUGUAAUAAGUAAUUAUUGCAUAUUAAUAUAUUUACUAUUAAAUAUUUUUUUUUAUCUGAAUAUGUGAAUUAUUAUUUAAGAAUGAGUAGCAUUACAUCCUAUCCUUAUAGAGGAGCGAAAUUAACUACAUUGGUGGAUUAGAAGGCUACCCCAACACUAGUUUUCUCAUCCUAACAUUUAUAGCAAUCCAAUUAGCACAAGUAUUUGCUGCUCUUAAGACAUGAGUAACUUGGAAGGAAGGAGAUAAAUCCAGAUAACUCUUGACAUCAUGAAUAAUAGCCUCUACCUCCCAAGGAAGGAAAGAUGGAUGAAUAGAUAAAAGAUGCAACAAUUGCAAUGAAUUUGAUUCAACAAGCGCAUACUGAACUACUGCUCUUAAUGCAAAGGCCUCUGUCACAAGAGGGGAUGAGUCUGAUGCACAAAAUUAUACUGCGCAACAGAAGAAAUAUGUGGCAAAGAAUGCUGCUACGGAA